GAUGAACGCUAGCGGCAGGCCUAAUACAUGCAAGUCGAACGCUCAGUAGCAAUACUGGGAGUGGCGCACGGGUGCGUAACGCGUACACAAUCUACCUCUAAGCGGGGGACACCUCCUGGAAACGGGGAUUAAUACCGCAUAAUAUGCCGAAGUCGCAUGACUUUGGUAUUAAAGCAGCAAUGCACUUAGAGAUGAGUGUGCGUCCCAUUAGGUAGUUGGUGAGGUAACGGCUCACCAAGCCUAUGAUGGGUAGCCGGUCUGAGAGGAUGGUCGGCCACACGGGCACUGAGACACGGGCCCGACUCCUACGGGAGGCAGCAGUAAGGAAUAUUGGUCAAUGGUGGAAACACUGAACCAGCCAUGCCGCGUGGAGGAAUAAGGUCCUACGGAUUGUAAACUCCUUUGACGAGGAAGAAAAUGUUAGAUUUAUCUAAUUUGUACGGUACUCGUAGAAUAAGCACCGGCUAACUCCGUGCCAGCAGCCGCGGUAAU
RNAcentral lists this ribosomal RNA (492 nucleotides) under uncultured bacterium. RNAcentral describes it as "partial 16S ribosomal RNA". It matches the Rfam family "Bacterial small subunit ribosomal RNA", at positions 28 to 524 of the family's 1533-position model. The record is from RNAcentral.